CCCUUAGAUGUUCUGGGCUGCACGCGCGCUACACUGAUGCAUGCAACGAGUUUUCGACCUUGCCUGAAAAGGUUGGGUAAUCUGUUUAACAUGUGUCGUGAUGGGGAUAGACCAUUGCAAUUAUUGAUCUUCAACGAGGAAUUCCUAGUAAGCGCGAGUCAUCAGCUCGUGCUGAUUAUGUCCCUGCCCUUUGUACACACCGCCCGUCGCUCCUACCGAUUGAGUGAUCCUGUGAAUGAUUCGGACCAGCGUGCUGCUCAGAUCCUGCGCAGUGUGCUGGGAAGUCUAGUGAACCUUAUCACUUAGAGGAAGGAGAAGUCGUAACA
Molecule: ribosomal RNA, 326 nt
Filed under: uncultured eukaryote
Lineage: Eukaryota
Description: partial 18S ribosomal RNA
Rfam family: Eukaryotic small subunit ribosomal RNA
Source: RNAcentral